UUCGAGCUAAGCUACAGGAGUAUGCCACCAGAUUUGAGGCUAUGCUUUGCUUAUUAUUGUGCAGUCUUCCCAACUGGCCACAACAUAGUCAAAGAUGACCUGGUUCAUCAAUGGAUUGCUCUGCACCUCAUUGAGCCAUCUGAAACAUUGUCUGCCGCACAGAUAGCAGAGGAGCAUAUUACCAGGCUUCAGAACAUGUCAUUCCUUCAAACUGCAGAGCUGGACCACGUGAGUAAUUGUCUACUACUCUAUUGUACAAAAUCUGCUGACUUAUAAAGACAGAAAACUGAAGUAAAAUUUGAGUGAAUUGUAUCAUACUUGUUCCUACUGGAUGGAUUACUAAUGUGUGGAUAUAGUAGUAGGUAUGCCCGAGGGACAUGAUAUAGUGAAGCGAAAGAACAACAUACAUCUAGGAAACUAAGACAUAUAUAGGCUACUUACUAAUUUUUAAUUGGAAGAAGAGGAUCCAAUCGGCUGUCCGAUCACGCGCUGGAAUCGGCCGCCUUGGUCGAGCAACACGUGCCGCCCAAGUUGCUGGCUCCCUUCGACAUUAUCCUUUCCUGAGCCACCCCUCCACAAAGGGCCUCUUUGAUUCAAAUAAUUUCUAAAAUAAUUUUGUAGAAUUCUAAUCUUUGNNNNNNNNNNCACUUGCCCCCUCUCGCUCGCCUCUGCGCCUCCCCUCCCCCAGAUCCACCUCUCCCCUCUCCUCCCGCUCGAUCUCGAGCGCGCCCAUCGCCAUGGCCCCAUCCUUGUCACGGCCACCGUCGCCACCUCGCCUCGUCCCCGUGACAGAUCGGUUCUCCGGCCCUCGCUACAUCCUCCCCGACCACCUGCUCGAGCCGGGACCCCCUGCAUCACCCCCCAACGCCGUCGCCUUCUUCCUUGGGUCGCCGCCAUCUUCUUCGACUCCGGCGACUGCUGCUGCUACUAAGCCUCUCACGGGCCUUUCUUGGCCGCACGGUGAGCUCCUCCCUUCCUCCCUUCCUCUCCUCCCGUCGUGCUUUUUGCCGUAGCUAGCUCGCCCGCAAGCCGAGCUCCGCCGUCUGCCAUUGUCGUCAUAGGGCUCGCCUCCGAGCUCCUCCGCUCGAGCCAGUAGCUCCGACGAGCUCCUGGAGCGCCAUAGACCUCGCCUAGCCCUUUACUUCGCUCGCACACGCUCUGUAGCGCCGAUCCUGAACUCCGGCCGAACGCGCCGCCCGCCACUGUCGAUGUAGCGCUCCAUUCCGGUCGAGUUAGCCCACGGGACCGCCGUAGAUCGAUGCGGCGUCGGACGCCCGGUCGAACGCGCCUAACCGCAUCUCUCCCCGUGCCCUGUAGCUUUUUUUCGGCGAAGUCCGGCGAUGCUCCGCCGCGGAAAUGGUCGCCGGCGCGUCUCCGGUGCCGCCCGCCGACGUGGCCCAUCAGGCCCCACCUCACAGCCACUGACCGCGGGCCCCAUGGGCCCCAGAUGACUGGGUUGACCCAGUCAACUGCUGACUGGGCACCAGUGGGCCACUGACGUGUGGGUCCCGCGCGUAAUUAAUCUAAUUUGAAGUUAAAACUUUAAUUAGUAAAUAGAUUAGUCUAAUGUAUCACUGACAUAUUGGGCCCACACCCCUUAUUAGUUUAGUUAGAUUAGUUAAUUCGCUGUUAUAGCCACUCUCACUGACCAGUGGGUCCCGCUGGACCCACAGGUCAGGUUUGACCUGGUCAGCCGACCAGCUGGCUGCUGACGUCAUCCUCUAGUCAUGCUGACGUCAUAAUUCCAAUUCUGUUAAUUUAGAUAAUUCCAAAAUAUGUUUUAAUCUUUGAAAAUUCGUAGAAAAUAAACCGUAGCUCGGAUGAAAAAGUUUUAUACAUGAAAGUUGCUCAGAACGACAAGGCAAAUUGGAAUGCGUGGUCCGUUUACCUGUCACAUGCCUCUAUCUGUCUGAACAUGGAACAUUUCCCCUCCGGUCAUCUGUCUCACACAGGUCCGGAACCGGGAAAGCAUUUCCGGUUGAAUUCCCCCUUCACCUAUAUCGUGUAACCCUGUGUUAGAACACCUCUAGCAUCGCUUAUUGUCAUGUUAUGCAUAUGUUUGCGUGUAUUUACUGUUUCUUCCCCUCUUCUCUCCGGUAGACCCCGGGACCGCUGCUGAUGCCCCUACGAUCGACUACGUCGACGACGACCCUCCUUCUCGCCUGAGCAACCAGGCAAGCCCCCCCUUUGAUCAUCUUGAUAUCGCCCAUUCCAUUCUCUCAUGCUUGCAUUAGAUUUUGCUAUUGUUAUUGAUUGUUCCUAUUCUGAUGCAUAGCCUGCUUUUGUAACCUGCUCAUUGUACCUUACCUGCUUAUCCUAAACUGCUUAGUAUAGGUUGGUUAGUGAUCCAUUAGUGACCCCCACCUUGUCCUUGUUGCCCCUGCUUCAUCUUCGACGACUCGAUCAACGUGAUCGAUGACCAGAGCCUGACACCUCACAUCACAUCACGCCCCUUUAGUUGCUCGACUCUGCAGAGCUACUAUCGAGUGCUGAGGGUGAUCCCUCAUAAUGCACUCCUGAUGAUAAUUCUGUAGUGUAGCUAUUCGGGCGUGGUCAUCGAGGGUGAUUUCCUCUUUCACCAUUCCUGAUACGGCUCUGUCGUUCAACACCUCAAGUGUGAACCUCGAGGGUGGUCCCUCUUAAAUUCACCUUGAUGAUUACAUUGAGUGGAAUCCACCGGGGGUGAUUCCCCGGGUUUUCCCCUUGAUGUCUGGACACACGGUUACCUUGACUUUACUUGAGACCAUUGUUGAAGUCGGGUCGGCCCUGAGGGGUACCCGCGAGUUGAUGUGAAAAUCGGGCGGGCCCGUAGAGCACCCGCGAGUUUUCCACGUGGCACGGCCGGGCAGUCUGGGCCCUUGCCGUAAGUCCAUGAGACGGGGCGACGGGGUCACAUUAUCGUGAGUCUCUGCUCGUCUCCGCGAGCCCCCAAUGCACUAACAGGUUUGGGUAUUUGUUCNNNNNNNNNNUCCGCGGUAAUGGAUGUUCAGACUUAUAUCCUGAUCUUAUAUAACUAGAAACGGAUACUUGAGAUAUGUGAUGGAUAUGUGGCUCCGAGAUUGCUUUCCCGCAGGGAGUCGAGGAAGGAUCUCUGGGCGUUGAUGUUACAACAUGCUUGUUAAAUAUUAAAAUGUUACUCUUUACUCUUCUACAUGCUGCAAGAUGCUUGGAGCUGCUUGAAGAUGCUAGUCUUCGAUAGGCUAGGCCUUCCCCCUCUAUUCUGGCAUUCUGCAGUUCAGUCCACAGAUACAAACCUUCCUUUUGAUACCAAUGCAUACUUAGUAUACAUCUGAUGCUUGCGAGUACUUUGGAUGAGUACUCACGGUUGCUUUGCUACCCCUUUUCCCCCUUCUUUCUUCUUUCCGGUUGAUGCAACCAAAUGAUGGAUCCCUGGAGCCAGAUGCCACCGUCGAUGGAUACUACUGUAUGGAGACCGCCGACGACCAGGAGUAGUUAGGAGGUCCCAGGCAGGAGGCCUUGCCUCUUCGAUCGUUGAUGUUUGUGCUAGCCUUCUUAAGGCAUCCUUGUUUAACUAAUGUCUGUACUCAGAUAUUGUUGCUUCCGCUACUGCUUGUGUAUCGAGCUAUGUAUUCGAGCCUUCGAGGCCCCUGGCUUGUAAUAUAAAGCUUGUAUUAUUUCUAUUUGUGUCUAGAGUUGUGUUGUGAUAUCUUCCCGUGAGUCCCUGAUCUUGAUCAUACACAUUUGCGUGUAUGAUUAGUGUACGAUUGAAUCGGGGGCGUCACAGGUGAGGAUAGGUCAUUGUUGUAGUUUGUCGAUCGCUUUGAGUUUUUCUCUCUCGCGCUUAGGCAUAGUUUGGUCUUGUAUUACUUUGCUAUUUGCCGACUUGUUUUUUGGUGUUUGUGUGUGCGUAUGUUGUUUAUUGUGUGCAUUCUAACUAUGUAGAGUCAGAUGUGUUGAGUAUUGUGUCUAUAGCUACUUGACGCUUCAUUUGGAGUCAGUAAAUUCACCCUUUGUGAAAGGAAAAAACCCUGAUAUUUCCCGAGUGUGGUUAUCCCUUGCAAGAUUCGAGCUAAGCUACAGGAGUAUGCCACCAGAUUUGAGGCUAUGCUUUGCUUAUUAUUGUGCAGUCUUCCCAACUGGCCACAACAUAGUCAAAGAUGACCUGGUUCAUCAAUGGAUUGCUCUGCACCUCAUUGAGCCAUCUGAAACAUUGUCUGCCGCACAGAUAGCAGAGGAGCAUAUUACCAGGCUUCAGAACAUGUCAUUCCUUCAAACUGCAGAGCUGGACCACGUGAGUAAUUGUCUACUACUCUAUUGUACAAAAUCUGCUGACUUAUAAAGACAGAAAACUGAAGUAAAAUUUGAGUGAAUUGUAUCAUACUUGUUCCUACUGGAUGGAUUACUAAUGUGUGGAUAUAGUAGUAGGUAUGCCCGAGGGACAUGAUAUAGUGAAGCGAAAGAACAACAUACAUCUAGGAAACUAAGACAUAUAUAGGCUACUUACUAAUUUUUAAUUGGAAGAAGAGGAUCCAAUCGGCUGUCCGAUCACGCGCUGGAAUCGGCCGCCUUGGUCGAGCAACACGUGCCGCCCAAGUUGCUGGCUCCCUUCGACAUUAUCCUUUCCUGAGCCACCCCUCCACAAAGGGCCUCUUUGAUUCAAAUAAUUUCUAAAAUAAUUUUGUAGAAUUCUAAUCUUUGAACAACAUGGAAGCUUCUUGUUAUGAUAAUAGCCCCCUUGCGAUAAGUUCAUCUUGUAUCCAUGUUUGGUCCUUUGCAAUCGUGGUUCUGACCAUAUUGUUCUUGUUUGAUCCAUUUAUCGAACAAGUUAAAGUACUUGUCUUCUUCAGAUCGUUUCACCUGUUCAACCUCUACAUUGCUAUACCCUCGAGUAUUACCCUCUGGUAUCUCGAGAAUAUCAUGGAACUACAUAACUUCUUAUGAGUUUUUCAUCAACUAUUAUUCUCGUCGAUUCAAAUUUUCCACGGGUUCUGAGUUGUUAGACACUCGAGAACACCGAUAACCGAUUCAAGUCUCCAUUGUUUUGUUUAACCUUUCUUGUAACCUAACAUAUCUGAGCAGUGACAAUUCCCUGCUUAUGUAAACACCUCGGUGUACAAACUCUGUCAAUAAGACCAUGUUACUAUUGUGGGUGACAUUCCGGUAGCCACCGAUGGAGGAGAACUUUGCCUAUUGGUCCGCCUCGUCUUAACGAGCAGGAGAAUGGUUCUCUUCGUCCCUCGCCCUUGGUACCGAUGUUGUUGCCGACAUAACUGACAGGUUAUAGUCUGACAUGCCUUGCUAUCAAGAUCGUGCAAGAUGACAUAACCCUUCCUAGUUUUUGAUCCACGUGGUGGGCCCAUAACCCACAGUUUCACAGGAUCGAAACCUGACUCUCCUGUACAUCCCUGUUUUCCAAAAUUGUUCCUCGCACUUAGCUUCGUAUGUACAUCAUGAGCCACCCACCUAGUGAUCUACUCUGGUAUCAGAUGCAAUACUUAUUCCCAUUGCUCCUCCUUACCUUGCUCUCGAUGACUUUCUUGAAUUUCAACUCGAGAGAUGCCUCUAUGCCAUGUUCACCGAGAUAGCCCCAGGUACCUAUCUUGUGUUCAGCUCCGUCCUUCCCGAGUCUUUCCCCCUUACUCCACCCCUUAAAUCUCGGGACGAGAUUUCUUGUAGUGGAGGAGAAUUGUGACGCCCGAAUAAUUAAGCAACAGUAAUCCUCUGUAAUGAUGCCACGUCACCAUGAUUACUGUUGAUAAACUCGCGUGGUUCGAAAUUGGUUCAAUUUUCAAAUUCAAAUUAAAGUCCAAAACUAAAAUUUUCAAACAUGAAAGCUAAAAUGUUCAAAGUGUGUCAAAUAAUCUCUGGUUAUUUGUCAUGUUGAAACCUAUAUUUUAAAAUGUGUUUUUAAUGCCCUAAAAUAAAUAAAACAGGGGCUAAAACUAGUAUUAAAUCCUUUUAAUUAUUAAACAAAUGCAAACUACUUUUUUUAUGUGCCAAAUUAUAUGUGGCAGUAGCCUAUUUUAUAAUAUUAUUUUAGNNNNNNNNNNNNNNNNNNNNNNNNNNNNNNNNNNNNNNNNNNNNNNNNNNNNNNNNNNNNNNNNNNNNNNNNNNNNNNNNNNNNNNNNNNNNNNNNNNNNNNNNNNNNNNNNNNNNNNNNNNNNNNNNNNNNNNNNNNNNNNNNNNNNNNNNNNNNNNNNNNNNNNNNNNNNNNNNNNNNNNNNNNNNUGCAAGUCUUCUAUUUUAUAUAACUAGUUCUGUUUUAAAAAGUUUAGGAAAACAGGAAAGCUUAAAAAAACAAAUAGAAAAGGCCCCUGCCCCCUGGGCCUAACCCCCCGGGCUAAGCCCCACAAGCUAGCCGGCCCAGCCCACUCCUCCCCCUGUCGUCUUCCCCCGCCCUGUUCGACCGACCGAGCACCCGCGCCCAUCGGCCGCAGCCCGACCACCUCGCCGUCGCCGCCGCCGAGGCGAUAAGAUCGCCACCCCCACCGACGCCUCGAACCCUUCCCCCACUCGCCCACUUGCCCCCUCUCGCUCGCCUCUGCGCCUCCCCUCCCCCAGAUCCACCUCUCCCCUCUCCUCCCGCUCGAUCUCGAGCGCGCCCAUCGCCAUGGCCCCAUCCUUGUCACGGCCACCGUCGCCACCUCGCCUCGUCCCCGUGACAGAUCGGUUCUCCGGCCCUCGCUACAUCCUCCCCGACCACCUGCUCGAGCCGGGACCCCCUGCAUCACCCCCCAACGCCGUCGCCUUCUUCCUUGGGUCGCCGCCAUCUUCUUCGACUCCGGCGACUGCUGCUGCUACUAAGCCUCUCACGGGCCUUUCUUGGCCGCACGGUGAGCUCCUCCCUUCCUCCCUUCCUCUCCUCCCGUCGUGCUUUUUGCCGUAGCUAGCUCGCCCGCAAGCCGAGCUCCGCCGUCUGCCAUUGUCGUCAUAGGGCUCGCCUCCGAGCUCCUCCGCUCGAGCCAGUAGCUCCGACGAGCUCCUGGAGCGCCAUAGACCUCGCCUAGCCCUUUACUUCGCUCGCACACGCUCUGUAGCGCCGAUCCUGAACUCCGGCCGAACGCGCCGCCCGCCACUGUCGAUGUAGCGCUCCAUUCCGGUCGAGUUAGCCCACGGGACCGCCGUAGAUCGAUGCGGCGUCGGACGCCCGGUCGAACGCGCCUAACCGCAUCUCUCCCCGUGCCCUGUAGCUUUUUUUCGGCGAAGUCCGGCGAUGCUCCGCCGCGGAAAUGGUCGCCGGCGCGUCUCCGGUGCCGCCCGCCGACGUGGCCCAUCAGGCCCCACCUCACAGCCACUGACCGCGGGCCCCAUGGGCCCCAGAUGACUGGGUUGACCCAGUCAACUGCUGACUGGGCACCAGUGGGCCACUGACGUGUGGGUCCCGCGCGUAAUUAAUCUAAUUUGAAGUUAAAACUUUAAUUAGUAAAUAGAUUAGUCUAAUGUAUCACUGACAUAUUGGGCCCACACCCCUUAUUAGUUUAGUUAGAUUAGUUAAUUCGCUGUUAUAGCCACUCUCACUGACCAGUGGGUCCCGCUGGACCCACAGGUCAGGUUUGACCUGGUCAGCCGACCAGCUGGCUGCUGACGUCAUCCUCUAGUCAUGCUGACGUCAUAAUUCCAAUUCUGUUAAUUUAGAUAAUUCCAAAAUAUGUUUUAAUCUUUGAAAAUUCGUAGAAAAUAAACCGUAGCUCGGAUGAAAAAGUUUUAUACAUGAAAGUUGCUCAGAACGACAAGGCAAAUUGGAAUGCGUGGUCCGUUUACCUGUCACAUGCCUCUAUCUGUCUGAACAUGGAACAUUUCCCCUCCGGUCAUCUGUCUCACACAGGUCCGGAACCGGGAAAGCAUUUCCGGUUGAAUUCCCCCUUCACCUAUAUCGUGUAACCCUGUGUUAGAACACCUCUAGCAUCGCUUAUUGUCAUGUUAUGCAUAUGUUUGCGUGUAUUUACUGUUUCUUCCCCUCUUCUCUCCGGUAGACCCCGGGACCGCUGCUGAUGCCCCUACGAUCGACUACGUCGACGACGACCCUCCUUCUCGCCUGAGCAACCAGGCAAGCCCCCCCUUUGAUCAUCUUGAUAUCGCCCAUUCCAUUCUCUCAUGCUUGCAUUAGAUUUUGCUAUUGUUAUUGAUUGUUCCUAUUCUGAUGCAUAGCCUGCUUUUGUAACCUGCUCAUUGUACCUUACCUGCUUAUCCUAAACUGCUUAGUAUAGGUUGGUUAGUGAUCCAUUAGUGACCCCCACCUUGUCCUUGUUGCCCCUGCUUCAUCUUCGACGACUCGAUCAACGUGAUCGAUGACCAGAGCCUGACACCUCACAUCACAUCACGCCCCUUUAGUUGCUCGACUCUGCAGAGCUACUAUCGAGUGCUGAGGGUGAUCCCUCAUAAUGCACUCCUGAUGAUAAUUCUGUAGUGUAGCUAUUCGGGCGUGGUCAUCGAGGGUGAUUUCCUCUUUCACCAUUCCUGAUACGGCUCUGUCGUUCAACACCUCAAGUGUGAACCUCGAGGGUGGUCCCUCUUAAAUUCACCUUGAUGAUUACAUUGAGUGGAAUCCACCGGGGGUGAUUCCCCGGGUUUUCCCCUUGAUGUCUGGACACACGGUUACCUUGACUUUACUUGAGACCAUUGUUGAAGUCGGGUCGGCCCUGAGGGGUACCCGCGAGUUGAUGUGAAAAUCGGGCGGGCCCGUAGAGCACCCGCGAGUUUUCCACGUGGCACGGCCGGGCAGUCUGGGCCCUUGCCGUAAGUCCAUGAGACGGGGCGACGGGGUCACAUUAUCGUGAGUCUCUGCUCGUCUCCGCGAGCCCCCAAUGCACUAACAGGUUUGGGUAUUUGUUCUGAGUUGGCCUCUGGCCUUUACGCACUAACCACCACGCGAGAAUAGAUAUGGGCCUCGACGUCGCAGUAUCAGCCGAAGCUUUGUCAGACGUCCAGUUCAGCAAUGCGGCAUGGUCGGAUCGUGCUGGCCAUCCGAGGCGGUACUGGUAUUCACCCUGCGCGCAAUGACCCGGAGUGCUGCGGGCGAUGGGCCCAAGACCCCGGAGCGCUUAGGAUGUAGACCGGCGGGGACCUCUCUGCUGAGCCUAGGUAGGGUUGCGACGUGUUGAUCUUCCGAGGCCGGGCAUUGACCCCAGAAAGGUGUGUCCGGCCAGAGUGAUCGAGCGUGUUGGGUAACGUGGUGCACCCCUGCAGGGAAGAUAUAUAUUUGAAUACCGUGUCCGCGGUAAUGGAUGUUCAGACUUAUAUCCUGAUCUUAUAUAACUAGAAACGGAUACUUGAGAUAUGUGAUGGAUAUGUGGCUCCGAGAUUGCUUUCCCGCAGGGAGUCGAGGAAGGAUCUCUGGGCGUUGAUGUUACAACAUGCUUGUUAAAUAUUAAAAUGUUACUCUUUACUCUUCUACAUGCUGCAAGAUGCUUGGAGCUGCUUGAAGAUGCUAGUCUUCGAUAGGCUAGGCCUUCCCCCUCUAUUCUGGCAUUCUGCAGUUCAGUCCACAGAUACAAACCUUCCUUUUGAUACCAAUGCAUACUUAGUAUACAUCUGAUGCUUGCGAGUACUUUGGAUGAGUACUCACGGUUGCUUUGCUACCCCUUUUCCCCCUUCUUUCUUCUUUCCGGUUGAUGCAACCAAAUGAUGGAUCCCUGGAGCCAGAUGCCACCGUCGAUGGAUACUACUGUAUGGAGACCGCCGACGACCAGGAGUAGUUAGGAGGUCCCAGGCAGGAGGCCUUGCCUCUUCGAUCGUUGAUGUUUGUGCUAGCCUUCUUAAGGCAUCCUUGUUUAACUAAUGUCUGUACUCAGAUAUUGUUGCUUCCGCUACUGCUUGUGUAUCGAGCUAUGUAUUCGAGCCUUCGAGGCCCCUGGCUUGUAAUAUAAAGCUUGUAUUAUUUCUAUUUGUGUCUAGAGUUGUGUUGUGAUAUCUUCCCGUGAGUCCCUGAUCUUGAUCAUACACAUUUGCGUGUAUGAUUAGUGUACGAUUGAAUCGGGGGCGUCACAGGUGAGGAUAGGUCAUUGUUGUAGUUUGUCGAUCGCUUUGAGUUUUUCUCUCUCGCGCUUAGGCAUAGUUUGGUCUUGUAUUACUUUGCUAUUUGCCGACUUGUUUUUUGGUGUUUGUGUGUGCGUAUGUUGUUUAUUGUGUGCAUUCUAACUAUGUAGAGUCAGAUGUGUUGAGUAUUGUGUCUAUAGCUACUUGACGCUUCAUUUGGAGUCAGUAAAUUCACCCUUUGUGAAAGGAAAAAACCCUGAUAUUUCCCGAGUGUGGUUAUCCCUUGCAAGAUUCGAGCUAAGCUACAGGAGUAUGCCACCAGAUUUGAGGCUAUGCUUUGCUUAUUAUUGUGCAGUCUUCCCAACUGGCCACAACAUAGUCAAAGAUGACCUGGUUCAUCAAUGGAUUGCUCUGCACCUCAUUGAGCCAUCUGAAACAUUGUCUGCCGCACAGAUAGCAGAGGAGCAUAUUACCAGGCUUCAGAACAUGUCAUUCCUUCAAACUGCAGAGCUGGACCACGUGAGUAAUUGUCUACUACUCUAUUGUACAAAAUCUGCUGACUUAUAAAGACAGAAAACUGAAGUAAAAUUUGAGUGAAUUGUAUCAUACUUGUUCCUACUGGAUGGAUUACUAAUGUGUGGAUAUAGUAGUAGGUAUGCCCGAGGGACAUGAUAUAGUGAAGCGAAAGAACAACAUACAUCUAGGAAACUAAGACAUAUAUAGGCUACUUACUAAUUUUUAAUUGGAAGAAGAGGAUCCAAUCGGCUGUCCGAUCACGCGCUGGAAUCGGCCGCCUUGGUCGAGCAACACGUGCCGCCCAAGUUGCUGGCUCCCUUCGACAUUAUCCUUUCCUGAGCCACCCCUCCACAAAGGGCCUCUUUGAUUCAAAUAAUUUCUAAAAUAAUUUUGUAGAAUUCUAAUCUUUG
Molecule: long non-coding RNA, 10862 nt
Filed under: Triticum aestivum (bread wheat)
Lineage: Eukaryota; Viridiplantae; Streptophyta; Magnoliopsida; Poales; Poaceae
Description: long non-coding RNA (TAES_LNC023521)
Source: RNAcentral